Molecule: ribosomal RNA, 152 nt
Filed under: uncultured bacterium
Lineage: Bacteria
Description: partial 16S ribosomal RNA
Rfam family: Bacterial small subunit ribosomal RNA
Source: RNAcentral
UCAGCAUACUGCCGUGAAUACGUUCCCGGGCCUUGUACACACCGCCCGUCCACACCAUGAGAGUUGGGAAUACCCGAAGCCUGUGAGCUAACUUUUAGAGGCAGCAGUCGAAGGUAGAAUCAAUGAUUGGGGUGAAGUCGUAACAAGGUAUC